AAAAAGGGUAUCCGAGUCAGGAUUGCGAAUCUGAUAGAUUGGCAAGCCGAGUCGCACUGCGCCUUGGGACCAUCCUCUGCCGCCUCUUGGGGUUUGGCAGGGUGCGAGCUCGCGCCUUUGGAUGGAUCAAUUCCCAUGUGCCCAGUGGGGUAUGGCUUUGCAUAUCCGAGGCUCAAUUUUUGUGUGUGGGGCCAAGACAGCUGCACCUCGUCAAAGGUCCGUAUUGGCAACGGAUCUGUGCGCUGGGCCCC
This is a small nuclear RNA of Drosophila subobscura, 251 nucleotides long. RefSeq annotates it as U11 spliceosomal RNA. Lineage: Eukaryota; Metazoa; Arthropoda; Insecta; Diptera; Drosophilidae. The transcript has a single exon. The record is from RefSeq and is a predicted model, not a curated record.